CUCAAAGGAAUUGACGGGGACCCGCACAAGCGGUGGAUGAUGUGGUUUAAUUCGAUGCAACGCGAAAAACCUUACCUACCCUUGACAUGUCUGGAAUCCUGAAGAGAUUUGGGAGUGCUCGAAAGAGAACCAGAACACAGGUGCUGCAUGGCCGUCGUCAGCUCGUGUCGUGAGAUGUUGGGUUAAGUCCCGCAACGAGCGCAACCCUUGUCAUUAGUUGCUACGAAAGGGCACUCUAAUGAGACUGCCGGUGACAAACCGGAGGAAGGUGGGGAUGACGUCAGGUCCUCAUGGCCCUUAUGGGUAGGGCUACACACGUCAUACAAUGGCCGGUACAGAGGGCUGCCAACCCGCGAGGGGGAGCCAAUCCCAGAAAACCGGUCGUAGUCCGGAUCGCAGUCUGCAACUCGACUGCGUGAAGUCGGAAUCGCUAGUAAUCGCGGAUCAGCUUGCCGCGGUGAAUACGUUCCCGGGUCUUGUACACACCGCCCGUCACACCA
This 500-nucleotide ribosomal RNA is filed under the name uncultured bacterium. RNAcentral's name for it is "bacterial SSU rRNA". It matches the Rfam family "Bacterial small subunit ribosomal RNA", at positions 900 to 1404 of the family's 1533-position model. The record is from RNAcentral.